This 1035-nucleotide ribosomal RNA is filed under the name Triticum aestivum (bread wheat). Its description in RNAcentral is "partial small subunit ribosomal RNA". Lineage: Eukaryota; Viridiplantae; Streptophyta; Magnoliopsida; Poales; Poaceae. The record is from RNAcentral.
AUGGCCACCACCGCCGUCCUCAUCCUGCUCGCAAAGCUCCUCCCGAUGCUAGCCACCGCAACCGAUAGCCGCUGGCCCGCCGCUGACUACGGCUUGGCCCUCACGCCCAAUCACUCGUGCGGCGACAUGGGCAGGUACCCUCCAGGCAGGGCGUACGAGGCCAACGUACGCCAUCUCGUCGCCACCAUUCCUGCCAAGGGGAAUGCGGAAUCCUCCAGGUAUGGGGAAUCCUGCAAGUGCUCUUUCGGCAACUUCGCCGGCGAGAGCCCCAACCUGGUCGCGGCGGACGCCUCCUGCUGCUGGCACCCGGACGCCAAGUCGCCGGACUGCGGCGCUUGCAUCGCGCUGGCCUUCCAGGAGGCGCAGAGGCUGUGCCCGUACGAGAGGAGUGCUGAGGCCGUGGUUGACGUCGACGGCGGCACGUGCCAGGCUUACUUCCACGACUACGACAUCAGGGAGCAGUUCGUUCACGUCGGCCCCAGCACACCGCCGGAGCUCCUUCCGGCGCUAGUUGCUGCGGCCGACGGCUGGCCCGCCUCCGACGACAGCAUGACCCUGACGCCCAGUCACAUGUGCGGUGACAUGGGCACGUACGCUCCGGGGAGCGCGUACGAGGCCACCCUGCGCCAUCUCGCCGCCACCAUUGCCGCCAAGCUGAAUGCGAAAUCCAGCGAAAGCGCGGGCGAGAGCCCCAACCGGAUUGUGGUGUCGGCCUACUGCUCCUGGCACCCGGACGCUGAGUCGGCGGACUGCAGCGCAUGCAUCGCGCUGGCCUUCCGGGAGGCGCAGAGGCUGUGCCCGUACCAGAGGCAGGCUGAGGCCGUGGUUGACGGCGGCGCGUGCAAAUUCUACUUCCAUGACUACGACAUCAUGGAGCAGUUCCAGCACGGCGACCCCAGUAGUGAUCUUCACGGGAACACAGUGGACCAGGCCGUGGGCGUUGUUGCGGAAAACGAGGAGAACAGUACAAGAAUGGGAUGGGCAUGUCAUAUCUUGGAGACAACGAUCAUGGAGAUCUUCGCAAACCUUGGGUAG